UAAUACAGAGGUCUCAAGCGUUGUUCGGAUUCAUUGGGCGUAAAGGGUGCGUAGGUGGCGCCGUUAGUCAGGUGUGAAAUCUCGGGGCUUAACUCCGAAACUGCAUUUGAUACUGCGGUGCUCGAGGACUGGAGAGGAGACUGGAAUUUACGGUGUAGCAGUGAAAUGCGUAGAGAUCGUAAGGAAGACCAGUGGCGAAGGCGGGUCUCUGGACAGUUCCUGACACUGAGGCACGAAGGCCAGGGGAGCAAACGGGA
RNAcentral lists this ribosomal RNA (257 nucleotides) under uncultured prokaryote. RNAcentral's name for it is "partial 16S ribosomal RNA". It matches the Rfam family "Bacterial small subunit ribosomal RNA", at positions 521 to 777 of the family's 1533-position model. The record is from RNAcentral.